CNCGUUACGANUUCGCCCCUUAGAGUUUGAUCAUGGCUCAGGAUGAACGCUAGCGGCAGGCUUAACACAUGCAAGUCGAGGGGCAGCAUGUCCAGCAAUGGAUGAUGGCGACCGGCGGAAGGGUGCGUAACGCGUGAGCAACAUGCCCUAUACAGGGAGAUACACCAGGGAAACUUGGUCUAACAUCCCAUAGCAUUCAUUGAAGGCAUCUUUAAUGAAUUAAAGCUUCGGUGGUAUAGGAUUGGCUCGCGUGACAUUAGCCAGAUGGUGAGGUAACGGCUCACCAUAGCAAUGAUGUCUAGGGGUUUUGAGAGGAAGGCCCCCCACACUGGGACUGAGACACGGCCCAGACUCCUACGGGAGGCAGCAGUGAGGAAUAUUGGACAAUGGAUGGAAAUCUGAUCCAGCCAUGCCGCGUGCAGGAAGACGGCCUUAUGGGUUGUAAACUGCUUUUAUACGGGAGCAAUAAGGGUUACGAGUAAUCCGAUGAGAGUACUGUAUGAAUAAGGAUCGGCUAACUCCGUGCCAGCAGCCGCGGUAAUACGGAGGAUCCGAGCGUUAUCCGGAAUUAUUGGGUUUAAAGGGUGCGUAGGCGGCCAUUUAAGUCAGCGGUGAAAUUUUGCAGCUUAACUGUAACAGUGCCGUUGAUACUGUUUGGCUAGGAUUUGGUUGUAGUGUGCGGAAUGUGUGGUGUAGCGGUGAAAUGCUUAGAUAUCACACAGAACACCGAUUGCGAAGGCAGCACACUAAGUCAUUAUUGACGCUGAGGCACGAAAGUGUGGGGAUCAAACAGGAUUAGAUACCCUGGUAGUCCACACUGUAAACGAUGAUAACUCGCUGUCNGCGAUAC
This 850-nucleotide ribosomal RNA is filed under the name uncultured bacterium. RNAcentral describes it as "bacterial SSU rRNA". It matches the Rfam family "Bacterial small subunit ribosomal RNA", at positions 1 to 832 of the family's 1533-position model. The record is from RNAcentral.